AGACAAGAAAAUGGGUCAAGCUCAGAGCGAGGUGGCCUCAACCCCAGAGCCAGAGGUAGAUCAAACUCAGAGCCAGCUUUCAUCGUCCGUUACACCACAUAAUUCUCGGCCAGAUACUCCAAUGGAAUCUCUUAUUGCAGAAGCUGUAGCAUAUGGAAACAAUGAGAAUGAGUCUCUUGAUGCAAAAGCUCAGAGAGCACUAGAAUGCCCGUGCAUAGCUGACUUGCGCAAUGGCCCAUGUGGGAUUCAGUUUUCAGAUGCCUUCCUUUGCUUUCUCAAAAGUACUGCCGAGGAAAAGGGUUCAGACUGCGUGCAUCCUUUUGUGGCUUUGCAGAAUUGUAUCAAAGCUAAGCCUGAUGCAUUUUCCAAGGACAUUUUAGAAGAGGAAGUGAAGAAAGAAGAAAAGCCAGCCCAAGAAUACAGAAUAAUCCCUCCCAAAUGGUCACGGGAAUCUCCAAGCCCCAAACUUUAGAAAUCAUGGUGGGAAGUUCUGAUGCUAGCCAUUGCUAGCUACAAAUUUUUCCAUGUCGGAAUUGCAGUUCUGUAUGCAGUUUAGAUGAAUAAUCUUGACCUCUAAUUUUUGAAGUAUAGAAUGAAUGUUUGUGGAAGUGAAAGAGCGAAGACGAUAAAAUUUGGACUGUUGAACACAAAUCAAAGGGAAAUGCUGAAGAAUAGUUUUGGGUAUUCUAAAAUUCUUGUUUUUUAACCAGGAAUAAUGUCAGCAAAUUAUU
Molecule: unclassified non-coding RNA, 731 nt
Filed under: Hevea brasiliensis (rubber tree)
Lineage: Eukaryota; Viridiplantae; Streptophyta; Magnoliopsida; Malpighiales; Euphorbiaceae
Source: RNAcentral